ACUUUUUGAAGAAAAGAGCCGAGGGACUUUCUCUUAAUUUCGCUGUGAAAUUUUUCUCUCAAAGUGACAAGUUGAUUUAGAGAAAAAGUUAAUUGUUUAUUUUUAAUUCUAAUUCGAUUCUAAAUUGUUGAUCAGAAUUUUUGAUCUGGUUAAUUAGAGAAAUUAGUUAAUGAUGAUCGAGUUUUGGAUCCUAAGGUGGGUGUUGUUGUUUCCUUAGGCCUAAUACCAGAGGUGUUGAUUUAAUCCAUGACGGUUGAGAUUCUGGUUUCAGAUUAAUUCAUUAAAACCUUUUAGGUUUCCAUUUUGAUUUCUAAUUAAUCUCUUAAUUCAUAGAGUUUGUCCUCUCUACCAAGCCAAUCAAUUUAAUCACCAAUAAGUUAAUUGUUUUUUUUAUCUAUUUGUGUUUCAAUAUCUUCCUCUUAUAAUCAACGUCUAUGUAUAGACAAUCAAAGUUGUCCAAUCAACUACUCCGAUUAACUGGUUGUUACCAAGGAAUUGGCUCUCUGGUUUUCUAUAAAUUCUGGUUAAGGAUCAAUCAAUUUGGAUCUCAUUACAUUCAGAUGUGUUUUUGUGUUUUCUUUUAAUUGUUAAUCAAUUUGUUUCCAUUAUCUCUCUAAUUGUUAAUUGAUUCUGAUGCCUCUAAUUAAUGACAAUUACUUUGUGGAUUAGCUUAUAAGUUUUUCUAUUUUAAUUUUCUCUUCAAGGUAUCAAUUAGCUGAUUUCUCUCUUCUUGGAUGUUCAAUUGGUUUUCGUUGUCUAAAUGGUGAUUGUGUUAAUUUUCCAGUUCAUUUUAAUCACUUUGCCCUAAAUUGUUUCAAUGACCGGAGGCUUUUACUUUGACCUUGAUUGGUACUCGAAGGAUAAUGUUGACGAUAAUAAUUCAUCAGAGAUGAUUAACUUAAUGUUUACAUGAUGAUGGAGAGAAAAAGAUUCAACAUCAACAAUCAACCUCAUGUUCAUUAGAAAAUGAGUUUAUUGCUGAGAGAGAGA
This is a long non-coding RNA of Panonychus citri (citrus red mite), 990 nucleotides long. RefSeq lists it as uncharacterized. NCBI's taxonomy places the organism in Eukaryota, Metazoa, Arthropoda, Arachnida, Trombidiformes, Tetranychidae. The record is from RefSeq and is a predicted model, not a curated record. The transcript is spliced from 3 exons.